Molecule: ribosomal RNA, 438 nt
Filed under: Hydra vulgaris (swiftwater hydra)
Lineage: Eukaryota; Metazoa; Cnidaria; Hydrozoa; Anthoathecata; Hydridae
Description: partial 16S ribosomal RNA
Rfam family: Bacterial large subunit ribosomal RNA
Source: RNAcentral
AUAAUAUUAAAUGGAUGCAGUAACUCUGACUGUAAUAAAGUAGCAUAAUUAGUUGUCAUUUAAUUGAUGGAGAGAAUGAAUGGUUACACGAAUUUUUCACUGUCUUAAAAAAAAUUUUUUAAAAUUGAAAUAAUAGUUAAGAUGCUAUUUAAAAUUGUAAGACGAAGAGACCCUAUAGAGCUUUACUAUAAACUUUUUUCCUAAAAAUAAUAAAAAAUUAUUAAAACUAGAAAGUUUGGUAGUUUAGUUGGGGCGACUGUUUUUUAAAAAUAACAAAAAUAAGCAAUAUAAUAAAUUUAUUUAUUGUAUAAUUAAACAAUUUAACAAUUACUAUAGUAGGCUAUAAUGACCCGUUAUUAUAAUAAAUAAUAAAUAACGAUUAAUUGAUAAAAGCUACCUUAGGGAUAACAGGAUAAUUUUGUUUUAGAGUCCUUAUCA